CCCGAGGAAAAGAAAUCAACCGAGAUUCCCCCAGUAGCGGCGAGCGAACGGGGAGGAGCCCAGAGCCUGAAUCAGCAUGUGUGUUAGUGGAAGCGUCUGGAAAGGCGCGCGAUACAGGGUGACAGCCCCGUACACAAAAGCGCAUGUGCUGUGAGCUCGAUGAGUAGGGCGGGACACGUGGUAUCCUGUCUGAAUAUGGGGGGACCAUCCUCCAAGGCUAAAUACUCCUGACUGACCGAUAGUGAACCAGUACCGUGAGGGAAAGGCGAAAAGAACCCCGGCGAGGGGAGUGAAAAAGAACCUGAAACCGUGUACGUACAAGCAGUGGGAGCACCCUUUGGGGUGUGACUGCGUACCUUUUGUAUAAUGGGUCAGCGACUUAUAUUCUGUAGCAAGGUUAACCGAAUAGGGGAGCCGGAGGGAAACCGAGUCUUAACCGGGCGUUAAGUUGCAGGGUAUAGACCCGAAACCCGGUGAUCUAGCCAUGGGCAGGUUGAAGGUUGGGUAACACUAACUGGAGGACCGAACCGACUAAUGUUGAAAAAUUAGCGGAUGACCUGUGGCUGGGGGUGAAAGGCCAAUCAAACCGGGAGAUAGCUGGUUCUCCCCGAAAGCUAUUUAGGUAGCGCCUCGUGAAUUCAUCUCCGGGGGUAGAGCACUGUUUCGGCUAGGGGGCCAUCCCGGCUUACCAACCCGAUGCAAACUGCGAAUACCGGAGAAUGUUAUCACGGGAGACACACGGCGGGUGCUAACGUCCGUCGUGAAGAGGGAAACAACCCAGACCGCCAGCUAAGGUCCCAAAGUCAUGGUUAAGUGGGAAACGAUGUGGGAAGGCCCAGACAGCCAGGAUGUUGGCUUAGAAGCAGCCAUCAUUUAAAGAAAGCGUAAUAGCUCACUGGUCGAGUCGGCCUGCGCGGAAGAUGUAACGGGGCUAAACCAUG
RNAcentral lists this ribosomal RNA (941 nucleotides) under Salmonella enterica subsp. enterica serovar Sandiego. RNAcentral's name for it is "partial 23S ribosomal RNA". It matches the Rfam family "Bacterial large subunit ribosomal RNA", at positions 210 to 1191 of the family's 2925-position model. Lineage: Bacteria; Pseudomonadati; Pseudomonadota; Gammaproteobacteria; Enterobacterales; Enterobacteriaceae. The record is from RNAcentral.